This 1275-nucleotide ribosomal RNA is filed under the name Triticum aestivum (bread wheat). Its description in RNAcentral is "partial small subunit ribosomal RNA". The record is from RNAcentral. Lineage: Eukaryota; Viridiplantae; Streptophyta; Magnoliopsida; Poales; Poaceae.
AUGGCGCUCCAUCUCGCGCGACCGUUCCUCCCCGCCGGCCUCCCGCCGCCGCCGCGCCGCCGCGCUCGUGCCCGACCACGUUCCCUCUCCCCCACCGCCGACGCGCGGUCCCCGUGCUUCAAGAGACCCUACACGUCCGUCCUGGUGGUCCCCACGGGGGUCGGCGCAGCCGUCGGGGGCUUCGCCGGCGACGCCCUCCCCGUGGCGCGCGCCCUCGCCGCCGUCGCCGAAUGCGUCAUCUCCCACCCCAACGUGCUCAACGCCGCGAUGCUCUACUGGCCGAUGCCCAAUACGCUCUACGUGGAGGGAUACGCCCUCGACAGGUUCGCGGAAGGCGCCUGGGCUCUCCAGCCGGUCCACCAGAACAAGGUAGGCUUGGUGCUGGACUCCGGGAUCGAGGAGGAGCUCCGGCUCCGGCAUUUGCAGGUCGCCGAUGCGGCGAGGGCUUCGCUCGGCCUCCCUGUUGUCGAGUGCACCGUCACCGAUGCUCCUUUGGAGAUCAAGACGUGGUUCGAUCCGAAGUGCGGGAAAUCAACCGGGAGCGUUGGGAACUCCGGUUCCCUGUUAAGAGCGGUCGACGCACUAGUGAACCAUGCAGGCGUGAAUGCUGUGGCUGUUGUUGCGCGCUUUCCUGACGACGAUCCUGAAGAUUCAGAUUGCUAUAGGGAAGGAAAGGGAGUUGAUCUGUUAGCCGGAGUUGAAGCAAUCAUCAGUCAUCUAAUUGUGAAAGAAUUCCAAAUUCCUGCUGCUCACGCUCCUGCGGUGCUGCCCCCACCACUCAGCCCAUCAGUGUCCCCAAGAUCUGCUGCUGAAGAGAUUGGUUAUACCUUUCUACCAUGUGUGCUCGCUGGUUUAAGCACUGCUCCUCAGUAUGUGACGAGGAGGCAGGAAACCUUGGACAGUGGUUGUAUAGUGGCUAGCGAUGUUGAUAGUGUGAUUCUUCCGAGAGAUGCCUGUGGAGGUGAUGGUGCUCUUGCCUUUUCUCGAACUGCAAGAAAGAACAAGCCCUUAAUCAUUACCAUUCAGGAAAAUGAGACGGUGCUCGAUGACACCCCUGAUAAAUUCAACAUUGAAGCGCUGAAUGUCCAGAACUACUGGGAAGCAAUUGGAGUUAUUGCUGCUCACAAGGCAGGCAUCAAUCCAAAUGCUCUUAGAAAACAAGGAAUUGACCAUCUUAAGAGCCAUCGACGAUUGUACUCUGCCCGAUCUUCUGGUCCUAGGCCAUACACCUCUUCUGGAAUGCAGGAUAAAGUAUAUGUACACCAGUUAGUUUGA